GUGGCAGUGAUGGUCUCAGGGCUACAAUUCCCUUCCCACUCUCCUCUGCCUGUGAAACCCUAGCUAUUCUAAUUCAACAUAUGUGAAUGGAAUAAACAUCUCCCUUAUCUCUACAGUUUGUAAUGGAAUAGGAAUUGGUGAAUUUAAAGACACACUUUCCAUAAAUGCUACAAAUAUUAAACACUUCAAAAAUUGCACCUCAAUCAGUGGAGAUCUUCAUAUCCUGCCAGUAGCAUUUAGAGGUGACUCCUUCACACGUACUCUACCUCUGGAUCCAAAGGAACUGGAUAUUCUAAAAACUGUAAAGGAAAUAACAGGGUUUUUGCUGAUUCAGACCU
Molecule: long non-coding RNA, 338 nt
Organism: Ailuropoda melanoleuca (giant panda)
Lineage: Eukaryota; Metazoa; Chordata; Mammalia; Carnivora; Ursidae
Exons: 3
Source: RefSeq, a predicted model, not a curated record